AUUGAACGCUGGCGGCAUGCUUUACACAUGCAAGUCGAACGGCAGCGCGGGCUUCGGCCUGGCGGCGAGUGGCGAACGGGUGAGUAAUGCAUCGGAACGUGCCCAGCCGUUGGGGAUAGCCCGGCGAAAGCCGGAUUAAUACCGCAUACGACCUGAGGGUGAAAGCGGGGGACCGAAAGGCCUCGCGCUAUUGGAGCGGCCGAUGUCGGAUUAGCUAGUUGGUGGGGUAAAGGCUUACCAAGGCGACGAUCCGUAGCUGGUCUGAGAGGACGACCAGCCACACUGGGACUGAGACACGGCCCAGACUCCUACGGGAGGCAGCAGUGGGGAAUUUUGGACAAUGGGGGCAACCCUGAUCCAGCCAUGCCGCGUGCGGGAAGAAGGCCUUCGGGUUGUAAACCGCUUUUGUUCGGGAAGAAAUCCUCUGGGCUAAUACCCCGGGGGGAUGACGGUACCGGAAGAAUAAGCACCGGCUAACUACGUG
This 484-nucleotide ribosomal RNA is filed under the name uncultured bacterium. RNAcentral describes it as "partial 16S ribosomal RNA". It matches the Rfam family "Bacterial small subunit ribosomal RNA", at positions 28 to 507 of the family's 1533-position model. The record is from RNAcentral.